CCUACGGGAGGCAGCAGUAGGGAAUCUUCCGCAAUGGACGAAAGUCUGACGGAGCAACGCCGCGUGAGUGAUGAAGGCUUUCGGGUCGUAAAACUCUGUUGUUAGGGAAGAACAUGUGCUAGUUGAAUAAGCUGGCACCUUGACGGUACCUAACCAGAAAGCCACGGCUAAUUACGUGCCAGCAGCCGCGGUAAUACGUAGGUGGCAAGCGUUAUCCGGAAUUAUUGGGCGUAAAGCGCGCGCAGGUGAUUUCUUAAGUCUGAUGUGAAAGCCCACGGCUCAACCGUGGAGGGUCAUUGGAAACUGGGAGACUUGAGUGCAGAAGAGGAAAGUGGAAUUCCAUGUGUAGCGGUGAAAUGCGUAGAGAUAUGGAGGAACACCAGUGGCGAAGGCGACUUUCUGGUCUGUAACUGACACUGAGGCGCGAAAGCGUGGGGAGCAAACAGGAUUAGAUACCCUGGUAGUCCACGCCGUAAACGAUGAGUGCUAAGUGUUAGAGGGUUUCCGCCCUUUAGUGCUGAAGUUAACGCAUUAAGCACUCCGCCUGGGGAGUACGGCCGCAAGGCUGAAACUCAAAGGAAUU
This 583-nucleotide ribosomal RNA is filed under the name uncultured bacterium. RNAcentral describes it as "bacterial SSU rRNA". It matches the Rfam family "Bacterial small subunit ribosomal RNA", at positions 338 to 911 of the family's 1533-position model. The record is from RNAcentral.